CUUGAUCGACCCCAGCCACAGCGGCCGGCCCUCGGGACGCUCCUGACCGUAGGUGGCCAGCAGCGCGCUGGCCUC
This 75-nucleotide antisense RNA is filed under the name Streptomyces sp. MP131-18. Its description in RNAcentral is "ASpks TB sRNA". It matches the Rfam family "ASpks TB sRNA". Lineage: Bacteria; Bacillati; Actinomycetota; Actinomycetes; Kitasatosporales; Streptomycetaceae. The record is from Rfam by way of RNAcentral.